GAACCUUCGACUAAGGUUCGGGUCGAGCAUCGCGAGACAACGCGCAUCAGCGCGGCCCGCAGGGUGAAAUCAUCCUCUUGAACC
This 84-nucleotide small RNA is filed under the name Pantoea ananatis. Its description in RNAcentral is "RtT sRNA". It matches the Rfam family "RtT RNA", at positions 26 to 117 of the family's 130-position model. From Rfam's summary of the family: This family represents a bacterial cis-regulatory element known as RtT RNA. The exact function of RtT is unknown although it is thought that it may be involved in changing the cellular response in relation to amino acid starvation. Lineage: Bacteria; Pseudomonadati; Pseudomonadota; Gammaproteobacteria; Enterobacterales; Erwiniaceae. The record is from RNAcentral.